Molecule: unclassified non-coding RNA, 555 nt
Filed under: Nocardia sp. QGD102
Lineage: Bacteria; Bacillati; Actinomycetota; Actinomycetes; Mycobacteriales; Nocardiaceae
Description: partial contains 16S ribosomal RNA, 16S-23S ribosomal RNA intergenic spacer and 23S ribosomal RNA
Rfam family: Bacterial small subunit ribosomal RNA (bases 1-151)
Source: RNAcentral
UGUUAACCGACGUCACGUCAUGAAGUCGGUAACACCCGAAGCCGGUGGCCCAACCCCUUGUGGGAGGGAGCCGUCGAAGGUGGGAUCGGCGAUUGGGACGAAGUCGUAACAAGGUAGCCGUACCGGAAGGUGCGGCUGGAUCACCUCCUUUCUAAGGAGCACUUCUCCACGGACCCGGUCACAGAGGUGAUUGUGGUUGUGGCAGAGACAGUUUCGGGCUCGUCUGUAGUCCGGCUGGAGCUCAUGGGUGGAACGCUGACAACUUCUCCUGCGUGUGGCCGAGGCCGAGUCCUUGGUUGUGGGUGAUAUAUCGACACACUGUUGGGUCCUGAAAGAACAGGCGUUCUUUCCAGGCAAGAUAACGACGAGGCUGAAUCUUCAGUUCAUACCGGCUUCGACUCUUUCGGGGGUUGGGGUGCUGGUGCUGGUCAGGGUUUGGUUUUGUGUGUUGUUUGAGAACUGCACAGUGGACGCGAGCAUCUUUGUUUGUAAGUGUUUAAGAGCGUUCGGUGGAUGCCUUGGCACCAGGAGCCGAUGAAGGACGUAAGGAGGCUA